GUGCCAGGUUACAAAUCUGGCUGUCGUGAUGCCUAAAAAGCAUUGCAUAGCAAGGGCCGGGCAAGACCGGUGCCAGCCGCCGCGGUAACACCGGCGGCUCGAGUGGUAACCGUUAUUAUUGGGUCUAAAGGGUCUGUAGCCGGCCGGAUAAGUCUCUUGGGAAAUCUGGCAGCUUAACUGUCAGGCUUUCAGGAGAUACUGUCUGGCUCGAGGCCGGGAGAGGUGAGAGGUACUUCAGAGGUAGGGGUGAAAU
Molecule: ribosomal RNA, 253 nt
Filed under: uncultured euryarchaeote
Lineage: Archaea; Methanobacteriati; Methanobacteriota
Description: partial 16S ribosomal RNA
Rfam family: Archaeal small subunit ribosomal RNA
Source: RNAcentral